GAGUUUGAUCUUGGCUCAGAGUGAACGCUGGCGGCAGGCCUAACACAUGCAAGUCGAGCGGCAGCGCGGGGGCAACCCUGGCGGCGAGCGGCGGGACGGGUGAGGAACACAUCGGAAUCUACCCUGUCGUGGGGGACAACGUAGGGAAACUUACGCUAAUACCGCAUGAUCUGGAGACAGCAAAGCGGGGGACUCGCAAGGGCCUCGCGCGAUGGGAUGAGCCGAUGUCCGAUUAGCUAGUUGGCGGGGUAAGAGCCCACCAAGGCGACGAUCGGUAGCUGGUCUGAGAGGACGACCAGCCACACUGGAACUGAGACACGGUCCAGACUCCUACGGGAGGCAGCAGUGGGAAUAUUGGACAAUGGGGGCAACCCUGAUCCAGCCAUGCCGCGUGGGUGAAGAAGGCCUCGGUU
RNAcentral lists this ribosomal RNA (413 nucleotides) under uncultured bacterium. Its description in RNAcentral is "bacterial SSU rRNA". It matches the Rfam family "Bacterial small subunit ribosomal RNA", at positions 9 to 424 of the family's 1533-position model. The record is from RNAcentral.